RNAcentral lists this ribosomal RNA (248 nucleotides) under uncultured eukaryote. RNAcentral describes it as "partial 18S ribosomal RNA". It matches the Rfam family "Eukaryotic small subunit ribosomal RNA", at positions 1299 to 1458 of the family's 1831-position model. The record is from RNAcentral.
UGGUGGAGUGAUUUGUCUGGUUAAUUCCGUUAACGAACGAGACCUUAACCUGCUAAAUAUGCCGCGCUAACUCGUCCAUCAAAACCUAUGUGUGACUCACGCGGUUCGCUGCACACUAAUGUUGCCCGUUAAACGGUGAUGUUAGGGUGCCGGCAGGGCCCGGGUUCAUAUAGGCGGUAGGGUUCGGCGUCUGUGCUUCUUAGAGGGACUGCUGCGCGCCUAGCCAGCGGAAGUUUGAGGCAAUAACA